Molecule: long non-coding RNA, 495 nt
Organism: Hevea brasiliensis (rubber tree)
Lineage: Eukaryota; Viridiplantae; Streptophyta; Magnoliopsida; Malpighiales; Euphorbiaceae
Exons: 2
Source: RefSeq, a predicted model, not a curated record
AGGCAGUGAAAGUUCUUGCAAAAAGUCCUACAUUUGCCAGAGAUCCAAGGCUUUGAAGCAGACAUAAAUCGCCUUUUCCUAUAUACCUGAUUCAAGGAAUUUGGUAUCAUCAGCCAGUGAGUAUGAGAUAUAGAGAGAGAAAGCAUACCAACUUCAGACUCGAGAGCAGUGGAUAUGGGAACUGAGCAGUGAAUGAAAGAAACAAGAAGGAGUGAACUCAUGUUUAAGCUGCGCCUGGAAUGGAGUUUGAAGUGGCAAUCAAUAUCAAUGAUGGUGGUUUGGUGUUGAUAUUUGAUAGUGCUGUUCUUGGUCUUGUUGAUGGGUCAAGACAUUCCUGUUUUAAAUGGAGAGGAGGCAGGCUUUCCACCUGGGAACAACUCUGGGGAAGGCUUUAGUCCACUCUCCUUGUGAAGCGCGUGCAUUUUCUUAUUUGCAACGGUAAUAAAUGUAUUUAAUUAUAAUUUAAUAAAAAGCUUAACCCACAGGUUUGAUUUA